UCUCCUCACAAACACUCGGUCAACACUCGGUCGACAGAGGGAAAAAAGACUAAAGAGAGUGGGAGGGGAGAGAGAGGCACGAGUGAGAGAUGUCGACUGAAGAAAAAGAAGAAGAAGGCUUGAGAGCGUGGUGGGGGGAGGGGGAGAGGCGAUGGAGAGAGGAAGAAGGCAAAAGAUAAGAAGGCCAAAGAGAUGAAAGAAAGUAAGCGAUAGAGAGGUAUUAGCUUCCUCCUCUAAUAACUCGGAGUAUGUACUGAUUUAGAUGUGUAUUUACUUGAGUUUGUACAUGAUUGAGUUUGUACAUGUGUAUAGUCGAUUAUUUGUUGUUAAUUGGGUCUAAUUUUCGAUAAAUUAAGAUUUAUGCUCUUAAUUAGGUUAUAGGUUUGUUUAAUUAAGAGUUCGUAAUAGUCUUGUUUCCAUGAAUCUUAUUCAUAUCCUUUUCCUAUAUGAUGAUUUCGUAAAAGCGUUGAAAGUUAUAGAUCUCGGCUUCAGUGGAAAAUUUAUGAAUCUGAUAGCAAGAGCUUAAAUUGCUUUUAUUAGAUUCCUCAAAGAGAGGAGGAUACGAGGUGUACAAAAAUGAUGCUAAAAUUAAUCCUUGGCAUAUCCUCGGCACCAGCUGAUAGUCGAUGAAUUUCCUCAACAGACAGCCCGAGUGCAGUUUUUACCUAAACACAGAGGGCUGCAAGUAUAAGGGACAGCCCAAGUUUGGUUUUACUUAAACUAAUUUGAAAUUUUUGGUGUUGUUUAUGCUUGUUAUUUGUUGUGUACAGCUUUUCUUUUACAGGUGCCGAAGACGUUUUCCUAAUUUCUAGUAAAAAGUGGAGUUUUUUUGAAAUUUAAAUUGGCACUGCAAGACGGAGUUAUGAAAGAAAAUAAAGAGCAAAAAAAUGAAAUAUAUGCAUAUGUUUAUGACAUGAGAAACAAGUUAAGCCGGACAUGGCCACAACCUGUGCGCGUGCUGCUGGUUUUAAUCAUGACAGCAUGUUAGAACUCCGGAUACUUUCAUAUCAGUUUGGCGCCUAUCGCGUUAAGUAAGUUUCUAAAAAAAUUAUCUUCGUAUUAGUAGUCCAACUACUGAACCCUCAAACAUCUUUAUUUUGUUUUACUUGUUCUCAUAGUGAUGCUUAAUACCACAAAGAUAUACAAGGGGAGAACAAUAUGUAUGUGAACUGUUUUUUUUUUGAAAAAGUUUGUUCAGGGAUGCUUGCAAUAAAUUCUUAUCUCUGUACGGUUGGGGACAUGCCAGUGUCUCGCUCUUGUGUUGAGUUUAUGUAAAUGCUAGCAGGUCAGCUCGUUAUAAUAUAUACUAUGACAGUGAUGGAUAUGCUGUCAAAGAUGGUAAAGGCAAGGAUCUGCUUCUUUCACUGAUCGUUCAGCAUGUUUCCAUCUGAUCAGGCAAAGUGGUAGCUUGUUUGGCUACUAAAUUAAUAUUUAACUAUGUUUAAAAAUAAAAGGUAAUCUUGUUAUGGUUGAUUAUUCUGUUUGUCAAUCUUGACAUUUUCUAUUACUUUGUGUUAGAAGACCAUGCACUAGUGCGAAUAUGCUACCAGAUUUGGUUGGAGCCUUGUGUAGAACUGUAUGACUUGCACAAUCUACCAAAUUAAUGUUGAGGAACUUGCUCUGCACCAGGCUUUCAACAAUCUAAUUGGGAGCUGGUUUCCACAGAAUCCUCAACAGCUGGUCCUCUUGGAAUAAUCGAUGACGAUGGGCUUGAUAUGAUACGUCUUUUGUUACUGAUUUUUUUGAUAAAAAAUCUGGUGUAAUAAUAUAUUAGCGUAUUUUAUUUAAAUUUCUAGACUGAUAGGAUUGUUUGUACCAAUGUCAGUAACAAUAGUAAUGCUCUUGGUUGUGGUUGUAUAGGCAUGGUUAGAUUUGUGGUGGGUGACAUUCUUAGUUUUGUUUUUGGGAUGUUCUUGUAAUGAACCUUUAAUGGUGGAUUUAAUAUAUUUAUGAAAUGGUCAUGUCAAAUUUUUUUAUUCA
Molecule: long non-coding RNA, 1980 nt
Organism: Daucus carota subsp. sativus
Lineage: Eukaryota; Viridiplantae; Streptophyta; Magnoliopsida; Apiales; Apiaceae
Exons: 2
Source: RefSeq, a predicted model, not a curated record